AUUGAACGCUGGCGGCAGGCCUAACACAUGCAAGUCGAGCGGUAGAGAGGUGCUUGCAUCUCUUGAGAGCGGCGGACGGGUGAGUAAUGCCUAGGAAUCUGCCUAGUGUGGGGGAUAACGUUCGGAAACGGACGCUAAUACCGCAUACGUCCUACGGGAGAAAGCGGGGGAUCUUCGGACCUCGCGCCAUUAGAUGAGCCUAGGUCGGAUUAGCUAGUUGGUGAGGUAAUGGCUCACCAAGGCGACGAUCCGUAACUGGUCUGAGAGGAUGAUCAGUCACACUGGAACUGAGACACGGUCCAGACUCCUACGGGAGGCAGCAGUGGGGAAUA
Molecule: ribosomal RNA, 332 nt
Filed under: uncultured bacterium
Lineage: Bacteria
Description: bacterial SSU rRNA
Rfam family: Bacterial small subunit ribosomal RNA
Source: RNAcentral